GCCAGGCGCGGUGGCUCACGCCUGUAAUCCCAGCACUUUGGGAGGCAGAGGCAGGUGGAUCACCUGAGGUCAGGAGUUCAAGACCAGCCUGGCCAACAUGGUGAAACCCUGUCUCUA
This 117-nucleotide non-coding RNA is filed under the name Chlorocebus sabaeus (green monkey). The record is from Rfam by way of RNAcentral. Lineage: Eukaryota; Metazoa; Chordata; Mammalia; Primates; Cercopithecidae.